CCUUACUAAGGAAUAUCUGUUAAAAAGUUUGAGGUUUUAAAUAAGAAGAGUCUGUUUCUUAAAUAUUAGGAUUCAAAGUUAUGGAAGAAUGUGAACAUCAAAUAGAGGAGUAUUUAAAAGCACUUGAAUGUCUCAUCCACUUGGAGCUAAUCACUUGGUUUUGAUACCGCUUAGGAGGCAGAUCAUCCAAUACACUUUGGGAAAAUGGGGAGAUGGCCUUCUCAGGUCUUCUACCCCCCUGCUCCAUAGGAGUACGAAGGAAGGCUCGAGGACGCCUCGUCGGAGAAACAGCAAUUGGAGGAAAAUAGGCAUGUUCCUCUUCUUCUAGUUCCUUUC
This is a long non-coding RNA of Zingiber officinale, 336 nucleotides long. RefSeq lists it as uncharacterized. NCBI's taxonomy places the organism in Eukaryota, Viridiplantae, Streptophyta, Magnoliopsida, Zingiberales, Zingiberaceae. The transcript has 4 exons. The record is from RefSeq and is a predicted model, not a curated record.